Molecule: long non-coding RNA, 1895 nt
Organism: Eriocheir sinensis (Chinese mitten crab)
Lineage: Eukaryota; Metazoa; Arthropoda; Malacostraca; Decapoda; Varunidae
Exons: 3
Source: RefSeq, a predicted model, not a curated record
CAAAGGGCAGCCAUCAUCAUCAUCAUCACCCAAACGUAAACAAACCCAGCCUGGCGGACACGUGCUGGACCGCCUGGCACACCAAUACAUAGACCACACUGACCUCCUCUGACAGUCCUCCAACACACACUGGAGUAACGGCUGACCUCAGACAGCUCACGGUACAGACACUCCCCCAGCCGUCCCCUGGACACACCCGCUUGAGGACUGGCCACACCCGCCUCACCUGCACAGACUGUCCAGGACCCAUACACACACACCAGAACACCCCCUCCUGCACUGCCCAAGAUUCCACGCACCAACCUCAAGGCAUCCCUGACCAGCCUCCGCAUCCACCCUGGAGGACCUGCUGGGCAGCCACACCCUCAGCCCUAACACCCAAGCCUUCCAAGUGUACCUUCCUGCAGAAGGAGGGGCGGCAACUCGACAGGAUCUAACCCCACCCUGGUGACAGAACGGCAAACAAAACCUGAUACCAACUACCACUGAAGGGGCUGUGGAGGCUGUGGCCCCACAGCCCCAUAAAACACCCAAGAAGAAGAAGAAGGUGGACCCCGCCAGCCAUCCAGCGCCCCUUCUCUCCCUCCUCCUACUGGUGACGGGAGAAGACAGGAGGAUGAGGAGGAGAGAAGGAGGAGGAGGAGGAGGAGGAGGAGUGCCUGAUCCAGCAAGGUGAUUCACUGUCACCUGUCACUGUCCGUCCACCCUCAGGAAAGCCCUUUGAGAUCCAGCUCUGAAGAAGGAAGUCCAUCUUGGAAGCCCCAAGAACCAGUCACCCCAGUCCAAGAAAAGGUCGCAAGAGGUCAAGAAGGUCACAUUGUGAAGGAGCAGUCCAGUCAACCAGUCACUUAAGUUAUUGGAAAGGGAAGGGAAGGGAUAGGAAAGAGAAGGGAAGGAAAGAGAAGGGAAGGGAAGAGAGAGGAGAGAGAAGGGAAGGGAAGGGAAGGAAUCAACAGAGAAGUACAUAUAUAUAUAGUUCAUCUUAGUCACAUACAGUCUGAUACACACAGUUACACUCACAUAGAUUUACAUACAGUUUUGACGGUGCGUUUGACGAAGGCGUAUGACUCAGUACAUUGCUGAUUGGCCCGGCCCACCGUGUUAUGGACUCGCUCAACACAAAUACAGGAAACCCUUGAUAUAACGGACUUAUUUUUAUUUUUAUUUAUUUUUUAUUUUUUACAUCAGAGGACACGGCUCAAGGGCAAUAAAAAGAGUAUUGUGUCCUUGAAGAGGUCGCGUAAAUCAAAAACAAUGUAAAUCAAACAUGAGGUGGGUUUCUAUCGAAAAAUAAAUAUUCACUUCAUUCAGUGGAGAGAGAGAGAGAGAGAGCGAGAGAAUAUCCAUAUCACCGAAAUAUCCACUCAGGCACUCUCAGCCUCACUGGUGUGAGGAAGAAAUGAGGGACAUCAUGAGCGACUGGCUAGUAUUGGUGUCGGUACUGAGGAGUCUGGUGCUGGUACCGUACCGUAUAGCUGGUACAGUUAGUACCUACCCAGUGCCCACCCCUAUUGUUGAGUAGCAUGGCAGCAUGGGUACUGUAUUGUUGUUCAAGUGGCGCGCGGGAAGAACUGAUCUCAGAUGUGUGGCCGCGGCGCCGUGUGAGUCCAGUUGCGUGAGACAUCUGGUGGCCACUCCAUAAAAUAUCCCGUAUAAGUGAAAAACGUGUAAAUUAAACAUUUAUUUGGAUUUUGGACCCCGCGUUAUUUCAAAAACGCAUAAACCAAAGUCGCGUAAAUCGAGAGUUACCUGUACAAAAAAAGCCCGCUACUCACCACUCCUAUAAAAGAUAAAAGUAAAGAGUAGCCAAAAGAGAAGUCAAUUUCAGGUGGAGAGGUGUCUUGAUACACUCGCAAUUUUGGGGGGAACUCAGUCCGUAAGUGCCGAAAGUCCGU